RNAcentral lists this ribosomal RNA (234 nucleotides) under uncultured bacterium. RNAcentral's name for it is "partial 16S ribosomal RNA". It matches the Rfam family "Bacterial small subunit ribosomal RNA", at positions 524 to 757 of the family's 1533-position model. The record is from RNAcentral.
UACGGAGGGGGCUAGCGUUGUUCGGAAUUACUGGGCGUAAAGCGUGCGCAGGCGGUUUUGUAAGCCAGAUGUGAAAUCCCCGGGCUUAACCUGGGAAUGGCAUUUGGGACUGCAAGGCUCGAGUGCGGCAGAGGAGACUGGAAUUCCUGGUGUAGCAGUGAAAUGCGUAGAUAUCAGGAGGAACACCGAUGGCGAAGGCAGGUCUCUGGGCUGACACUGACGCUCAUGCACGAA